CAUGUAGGCUGUACGGCAAGUUGGAGGUGAAAUCCCACGGCUCAACCGUGGAACUGCCUUCAAAACUACCGAACUAGAGUGCGAGAGAGGAUAGCGGAAUUCCAGGUGUAGGAGUGAAAUCCGUAGAUAUCUGGAAGAACAUCAGUGGCGAAGGCGGCUAUCUGGCUCGUAACUGACGCUGAGAUGCGAAAGCGUGAGUAGCAAACA
This 207-nucleotide ribosomal RNA is filed under the name uncultured bacterium. RNAcentral describes it as "partial 16S ribosomal RNA". It matches the Rfam family "Bacterial small subunit ribosomal RNA", at positions 568 to 774 of the family's 1533-position model. The record is from RNAcentral.